This 1297-nucleotide ribosomal RNA is filed under the name metagenome. Its description in RNAcentral is "bacterial LSU rRNA". It matches the Rfam family "Bacterial large subunit ribosomal RNA", at positions 1634 to 2925 of the family's 2925-position model. The record is from RNAcentral.
CUCAACGACCGUACCGCAAACCGACACUGGUGCGCGAGAUGAGUAUUCUAAGGCGCUUGAGAGAACUCAGGAGAAGGAACUCGGCAAAUUGACACCGUAACUUCGGAAGAAGGUGUGCCCUAUUAGUGUGAAGUGAACAACGGAGCAUGAAUGGGUUGCAAAAAAUCGGUGGCUGCGACUGUUUAUUAAAAACACAGCACUCUGCAAACACGAAAGUGGACGUAUAGGGUGUGACGCCUGCCCGGUGCUGGAAGAUUAAAUGAUGGGGUGCAAGCUCUUGAUUGAAGUCCCAGUAAACGGCGGCCGUAACAAUAACGGUCCUAAGGUAGCGAAAUUCCUUGUCGGGUAAGUUCCGACCUGCACGAAUGGCGUAACGAUGGCCACACUGUCUCCUCCUGAGACUCAGCGAAGUUGAAAUGUUUGUGAUGAUGCAAUCUCCCCGCGGAAAGACGGAAAGACCCCAUGAACCUUUACUGUAGCUUUGUAUUGGACUUUGAACAGAUCUGUGUAGGAUAGGUGGGAGGCUUUGAAGCAGGGUCGCUAGAUCUUGUGGAGCCAACGUUGAAAUACCACCCUGGUGUGUUUGAGGUUCUAACCUAGGUCCAUUAUCUGGAUCGGGGACAGUGCAUGGUAGGCAGUUUGACUGGGGCGGUCUCCUCCCAAAUCGUAACGGAGGAGUUCGAAGGUACGCUAGUUACGGUCGGACAUCGUGACGAUAGUGCAAUGGCAUAAGCGUGCUUAACUGCGAGACUGACAAGUCGAGCAGAUGCGAAAGCAGGACAUAGUGAUCCGGUGGUUCUGUAUGGAAGGGCCAUCGCUCAACGGAUAAAAGGUACUCUGGGGAUAACAGGCUGAUACCGCCCAAGAGUUCAUAUCGACGGCGGUGUUUGGCACCUCGAUGUCGGCUCAUCUCAUCCUGGGGCUGUAGCCGGUCCCAAGGGUAUGGCUGUUCGCCAUUUAAAGAGGUACGUGAGCUGGGUUUAAAACGUCGUGAGACAGUUUGGUCCCUAUCUUCCGUGGGCGCUGCAGAUUUGAGGAAGCCUGCUCCUAGUACGAGAGGACCGGAGUGGACACACCUCUGGUGUAUCGGUUGUCACGCCAGUGGCAUUGCCGAGUAGCUAAGUGUGGAAGAGAUAACCGCUGAAAGCAUCUAAGCGGGAAACUCGUUUCAAGAUGAGAUCUGCCGGGGCCUUGAGCCCCCUGAAGAGUCGUUCAAGACCAGGACGUUGAUAGGUCAGGUGUGGAAGCGCAGUAAUGCGUUAAGCUAACUGAUACUAAUUGCUCGUGCGGCUUGAUC